Pelobates cultripes (western spadefoot toad) is the source of this 255-nucleotide non-coding RNA. The record is from the annotation of a GenBank genome assembly. Lineage: Eukaryota; Metazoa; Chordata; Amphibia; Anura; Pelobatidae.
CUGAUCUUCAAACUCACCACUCCCAUGUGAAACAGGUUCUGCAGACGUUGUUGAAAAAUAAACUUUAUUGUAAAUUAGAAAAGUGCAUUUUUGACCAGCCUGAAGUCCACUUUUUGGGUUACAACAUCUCUGCAUCUGGGUUUCAAAUGGAUCCUAAAAAACUAGAGGCUGUACUACACUGGCCAUUACCCUCUGGUUUAAAAGCCAUUCAAAGGUUUAUUGGUUUUGCCAACUAUUACAGAAGAUUCAUCAAGG